GCAGUCUCCAGGCCUGGCUGCAUGGUGAGACGUCUGAACACGCACAGGAUGCCAAGCCUUCCAGAUGAAGAAUGGAUCACAGUGCCAACCAUGUGGACGUGGAUCUCCCCCAGAUGGGCUUUGGUGCAUCUCGCCCAUCUGUAAUAUUUCCUCCAUCCAGAUGUGAAAGCCAAGACUCUGAAAUAAAGGGAUUCGCCCUAAGGUCACACACACACAAAGCGAGUAAAUGAAGACGUCUGGAUUCCAACCCAGAGAGAUAUAUACACAUAGAUGAGAUGAAGCCAAAACAUAAAAGAUGGAAUUAAAACACGAUGCCCUGGCUCUGAAAUCUUGCCUCUCCCCACCCCACCUGCAGUUUACAGUGAAACCUUUUUUAAGAGCAUCAUGGGACGUUGGAUAGAAAUCCUUGAUCUCCUAGUUCUGAGGCACAUGUAAUUAUUUCACAGGUAAGUAGCCUCAAGGAUCUUUUCGAUAGAUAUGACUUCAUUUUGAGAGCAUCAUGCCUCUCCCAGCAGUAAUUGAGCUUUGGCUGGAGCCAAUGUGGGGGUUCUGGUAUGUGCUGGGUGACUCCCAAUCAGGUUCCCCUGGCUCCCAACCCAAACCAAGUGAGCUGGCCUUGGCUUUGGCUGAUCUCUGAAAACCAGCUCAUUCAUCCUGUCCAGA
Non-coding RNA from Leptonychotes weddellii (Weddell seal), 663 nucleotides. The record is from RefSeq and is a predicted model, not a curated record. Lineage: Eukaryota; Metazoa; Chordata; Mammalia; Carnivora; Phocidae.